UCGGGACGUUUAUUGGGCCUAAAGCAUCCGUAGCCGGUUCUACAAGUCUUCCGUUAAAUCCACCUGCUUAACAGAUGGGCUGCGGAAGAUACUAUAGAGCUAGGAGGCGGGAGAGGCAAGCGGUACUCGAUGGGUAGGGGUAAAAUCCGUUGAUCCAUUGAAGACCACCAGUGGCGAAGGCGGCUUGCCAGAACGCGCUCGACGGUGAGGGAUGAAAGCUGGGGGAGCAAACCGG
This 235-nucleotide ribosomal RNA is filed under the name uncultured bacterium. Its description in RNAcentral is "partial 16S ribosomal RNA". It matches the Rfam family "Archaeal small subunit ribosomal RNA", at positions 492 to 727 of the family's 1478-position model. The record is from RNAcentral.